UACGUAGGGUGCAAGCGUUAAUCGGAAUUACUGGGCGUAAAGCGUGCGCAGGCGGUUAUGUAAGACAGUUGUGAAAUCCCCGGGCUCAACCUGGGAACUGCAUCUGUGACUGCAUAGCUAGAGUACGGUAGAGGGGGGUGGAAUUCCGCGUGUAGCAGUGAAAUGCGUAGAUAUGCGGAGGAACACCGAUGGCGAAGGCAAUCCCCUGGACCUGUACUGACGCUCAUGCACGAAAGCGUGGGGAGCAAACAGG
This 253-nucleotide ribosomal RNA is filed under the name uncultured bacterium. RNAcentral's name for it is "partial 16S ribosomal RNA". It matches the Rfam family "Bacterial small subunit ribosomal RNA", at positions 524 to 776 of the family's 1533-position model. The record is from RNAcentral.